GUGGGGAAUAUUGGACAAUGGGGGGAACCCUGAUCCAGCCAUGCCGCGUGUGUGAAGAAGGCCUUUUGGUUGUAAAGCACUUUAAGCGAGGAGGAGGCUACCGAGAUUAAUACUCUUGGAUAGUGGACGUUACUCGCAGAAUAAGCACCGGCUAACUCUGUGCCAGCAGCCGCGGUAAUACAGAGGGUGCAAGCGUUAAUCGGAUUUACUGGGCGUAAAGCGCGCGUAGGUGGCCAAUUAAGUCAAAUGUGAAAUCACCGAGCUUAAAUUGGUGAUUGCAUUCGAUACUGGUUGGCUAGAGUAUGGGAGAGGAUGGUAGAAUUCCAGGUGUAGCGGUGAAAUGCGUAGAGAUCUGGAGGAAUACCGAUGGCGAAGGCAGCCAUCUGGCCUAAUACUGACACUGAGGUGCGAAAGCAUGGGGAGCAAACAGGAUUAGAAACCCUUGUAGUCC
Molecule: ribosomal RNA, 451 nt
Filed under: uncultured bacterium
Lineage: Bacteria
Description: partial 16S ribosomal RNA
Rfam family: Bacterial small subunit ribosomal RNA
Source: RNAcentral